GAUGAACGCUGGCGGCGUGCCUAAUACAUGCAAGUCGAGCGAACAGACGAGGAGCUUGCUCCUCUGACGUUAGCGGCGGACGGGUGAGUAACACGUGGAUAACCUACCUAUAAGACUGGGAUAACUUCGGGAAACCGGAGCUAAUACCGGAUAAUAUAUUGAACCGCAUGGUUCAAUAGUGAAAGACGGUUUUGCUGUCACUUAUAGAUGGAUCCGCGCCGCAUUAGCUAGUUGGUAAGGUAACGGCUUACCAAGGCAACGAUGCGUAGCCGACCUGAGAGGGUGAUCGGCCACACUGGAACUGAGACACGGUCCAGACUCCUACGGGAGGAAGCAGUAGGGAAUCUUCCGCAAUGGGCGAAAGCUUGACGGAGCAACGCCGCGUGAGUGAUGAAGGUCUUCGGACAGUAAAACUCUGUUAUUAGGGAAGAACAAAUGUGUAAGUAACUAUGCACGUCUUGACGGUACCUAAUCAGAAAGCCACGGCUAACUACGUG
This 497-nucleotide ribosomal RNA is filed under the name uncultured bacterium. RNAcentral's name for it is "partial 16S ribosomal RNA". It matches the Rfam family "Bacterial small subunit ribosomal RNA", at positions 28 to 507 of the family's 1533-position model. The record is from RNAcentral.